Molecule: ribosomal RNA, 490 nt
Filed under: uncultured bacterium
Lineage: Bacteria
Description: partial 16S ribosomal RNA
Rfam family: Bacterial small subunit ribosomal RNA
Source: RNAcentral
AUUGAACGCUGGCGGCAGGCCUAACACAUGCAAGUCGAACGGUAACAGGAAGAAGCUUGCUUCUUUGCUGAUGAGUGGCGGACGGGUGAGUAAUGUCUGGGAAACUGCCUGAUGGAGGGGGAUAACUACUGGAAACGGUAGCUAAUACCGCAUAACGUCGCAAGACCAAAAAGGGGGACCUUCGGGCCUCUUGCCCUCGGAUGUGCCCAGAUGGGAUUAGCUAGUAGGUGGGGUAACGGCUCACCUAGGCGACGAUCCCUAGCUGGUCUGAGAGGAUGACCAGCCACACUGGAACUGAGACACGGUCCAGACUCCUACGGGAGGCAGCAGUGGGGAAUAUUGCACAAUGGGCGCAAGCCUGAUGCAGCCAUGCCGCGUGUAUGAAGAAGGCCUUCGGGUUGUAAAGUACUUUCAGCGGGGAGGAAGGGAGUAAAGUUAAUACCUUUGCUCAUUGACGUUACCCGCAGAAGAAGCACCGGCUAACUCCGUG